AGCGAACGCUGGCGGCAGGCCUAACACAUGCAAGUCGAACGAACCUUUCGGGGUUAGUGGCGGAUGGGUGAGUAACCCGUGGGGACGUGCCUUUAGGUUCGGAAUAACUCAGGGAAACUUGUGCUAAUACCGAAUGUGCCCUUCGGGGGAAAGAUUUAUCGCCUUUAGAGCGGCCCGCGUCUGAUUAGCUAGUUGGUUGAGGUAAUGGCUCACCAAGGCGACGAUCAGUAGCUGGUCUGAGAGGAUGAUCAGCCACAUUGGGACUGAGACACGGCCCAAACUCCUACGGGAGGCAGCAGUGGGGAAUCUUGCGCAAUGGGCGAAAGCCUGACGCAGCCAUGCCGCGUGAAUGAUGAAGGUCUUAGGAUUGUAAAAUUCUUUCACCGGGGACGAUAAUGACGGUACCCGGAGAAGAAGCCCCGGCUAACUUCGUG
RNAcentral lists this ribosomal RNA (434 nucleotides) under uncultured bacterium. RNAcentral's name for it is "partial 16S ribosomal RNA". It matches the Rfam family "Bacterial small subunit ribosomal RNA", at positions 29 to 507 of the family's 1533-position model. The record is from RNAcentral.